ACGAGAGGACCGGGAUGGACUGACCUCUGGUGCACCAGUUGUCACGCCAGUGGCACAGCUGGGUAGCUAUGUCGGGAAGGGAUAAACGCUGAAAGCAUCUAAGCGUGAAGCCCACCUCAAGAUUAGAUUUCCCAUAGCGUAAGCUAGUAAGACCCCUUGAAGAACACAAGGUUGAUAGGCUAGAGGUGUAAGUGUAGUAAUACAUUCAGCUGACUAGUACUAAUAGGUCGAGGGCUUGA
RNAcentral lists this ribosomal RNA (239 nucleotides) under Clostridium tetanomorphum DSM 665. RNAcentral's name for it is "partial 23S ribosomal RNA". It matches the Rfam family "Bacterial large subunit ribosomal RNA", at positions 2683 to 2925 of the family's 2925-position model. Lineage: Bacteria; Bacillati; Bacillota; Clostridia; Eubacteriales; Clostridiaceae. The record is from RNAcentral.